RNAcentral lists this long non-coding RNA (1304 nucleotides) under Homo sapiens (human). RNAcentral's name for it is "non-protein coding lnc-TBC1D9B-2:2". Lineage: Eukaryota; Metazoa; Chordata; Mammalia; Primates; Hominidae. The record is from RNAcentral.
ACCUUUUACCAAGGGCUUUGGGGGUUUUUUUGUUUUGUUUUUCUUUAUGAUAGUCUUCGUACUAUAAAAAUAUUUUCAAUGAGCAGCUUCAAUAUAGCAUCGUUCAGAAAAGCAGGUUUCCCCAUUGGGCUCUCAGAGAGAGGGUGAGUCUGCAGGAAGCUGGAGCCCAUUUGCUGGAGGUUCCAGACACGCGUCUGCAUUUGUAUGUGUUUGACCCACCUGAAAGGUAGGAGAGCUCAGUUCGGAUCAUUGCCGUGUUGUCUAUACCACCUCCUUGUUUUCCCAAACCAAAACGCAGAUCCUGAUGUAGCAUUUUCUCCUGAUUUGAGGUCUUACCAAUGUGUAUACGUUAAAUUCCACUCAAGACAGUUUCUUUACUGAAAAGGUAUGAAAUUACGUGAGAAGAAGUACAAAUUUCAGGCCCCUAGAAUCUGUCUAUUAAUAUAACAUUUGAAUUUCUGGGAAAUCUGGGGCACACAUUCUUUACAGAUGCAUGCCACCACGCCCAGCUAAUUUUUUGUAUUUUUAGUAGAAACGAGGUUUCACCACGUUGGCCAGGCUGGUCUCAAACUCCUGACCUCAAAUGAUCCACCUGCCUCGUCCUCCCAAGUGCUGGAAUUACAGGUGUGAGCCGCACCAGCCUGUUUUUUAAUUUUAUUUAGAGACAGGGUCUCACUCUGUUGCCCAGACUGGAGUGCAGUGGUGUAAUCUUGGCUCACUGCAGCCUCAACUUCCAGCGCUAAAGCAAUCCUCCCACCUCUGCCUCCCGAGUAACUGGGACUACACACGCAUGCCACUACACCCAGGUAAUUUUUAAAAAUUUUUUUUAGAGACAGAGCUUCUCCAUGUUGCCCAGGCUAGCCUCAAACUCCUGGGCUCCAGUGACCCUCCCGCCUUAGUGUCUCAAAGUGCUGGGAUUACAGGUAUGAGCCACCACGCCCGGUCAGAAGCUGUGUUUUUAAGUGGACAUACCAUCUUGUCCUGCUGAAGUAUCUCCAUGUAAUCACAAUAUCUAUGUCACCCAAAUCUCCUCCUUCCUCCUCCCUCCCCCAAAACACCCCCACAGGCAUGCAUACCCUCCCAUGCGCUGGAGGCAGAAUCUCCCAAGGGGAGCUGGCCAGGAGAGGUGUCCCUGAGUUCAGAUGGAGGUGGAAGCCAGAGUGGGGCUGGGACCACCCAGUGACAUGAGGAUGGGGCUUGGGAUAAAGCCCUGGGGACACUGACAUUUAAAGUGUGGACAGAAGGAGCUACUGAAGGCAAUGGAUUUAGAAAAGCAAUUGAGUAUGAUUUCCUUCUUCAAGAAA